Long non-coding RNA from Passer domesticus (house sparrow), 464 nucleotides. RefSeq lists it as uncharacterized. The transcript is spliced from 3 exons. Lineage: Eukaryota; Metazoa; Chordata; Aves; Passeriformes; Passeridae. The record is from RefSeq and is a predicted model, not a curated record.
AAUAUAGCUGCAUUUUUAGUUUGUUGUAUUGAAGUGCUGCAGAACUCAGGGUUUGUGAGUCUGUGACAUGGAUAAGAACUAAUAAACAUCUGAGUCCCAACUAGAAAUAUCUCACACAUUUAAUCCCGACCUUGGCAAAAAAGAAUCAAAGACUUGCAACAUUGGUGUCAGCCCUGGAAGUUCGAGGUGCAGGAAUGCCAGGAGUGCCAGAGCUGCUGGAGGUGCAGGAAUGCCAGGAAUGCCAGAGCUGCUGGAUCCUGUCUGGAGGCACAGCCUGAGCCCAGGAGAGCCUGCUCAGGCAGCAGGUAAACCUGGGAGUCUGCCAGAUCCCUCCCAGCUACAGAACUGCAUCAUAAAACCCCCGUGUGGACACAGCACCUUUAUCAUCUUCACUCCUCCUUAUCUGGUCAGGACCACCUCCCGCCCUGCAUGGCUACAGAAACCACAGCUGGAACCUGUGCUUG